This 468-nucleotide ribosomal RNA is filed under the name uncultured bacterium. RNAcentral describes it as "partial 16S ribosomal RNA". It matches the Rfam family "Bacterial small subunit ribosomal RNA", at positions 28 to 507 of the family's 1533-position model. The record is from RNAcentral.
GACGAAUGCUGGCGGCGUGCUUAACACAUGCAAGUCGAACGGAAAGGCCCUGCUUUUGUGGGGUGCUCGAGUGGCGAACGGGUGAGUAACACGUGAGUAACCUGCCCUUGACUUUGGGAUAACUUCAGGAAACUGGGGCUAAUACCGGAUAGGAGCUCCUGCUGCAUGGUGGGGGUUGGAAAGUUUCGGCGGUUGGGGAUGGACUCGCGGCUUAUCAGCUUGUUGGUGGGGUAGUGGCUUACCAAGGCUUUGACGGGUAGCCUGCCUGAGAGGGUGACCGGCCACAUUGGGACUGAGAUACGGCCCAGACUCCUACGGGAGGCAGCAGUGGGGAAUAUUGCACAAUGGGCGGAAGCCUGAUGCAGCAACGCCGCGUGCGGGAUGACGGCCUUCGGGUUGUAAACCGCUUUCGCCUGUGACGAAGCGUGAGUGACGGUAAUGGGUAAAGAAGCACCGGCUAACUACGUG